RNA transcript from Scomber scombrus (Atlantic mackerel), 3011 nucleotides. It is a transcript of the gene named Rho guanine nucleotide exchange factor (GEF) 7b, with no coding region annotated. NCBI's taxonomy places the organism in Eukaryota, Metazoa, Chordata, Actinopteri, Scombriformes, Scombridae. The transcript is spliced from 23 exons. The record is from RefSeq and is a predicted model, not a curated record.
UGUUGUAUGACAUUAGAGACUCAGGCAUGAAUUCAGCCGAACAGACGGUAACCUGGCUCAUAACGCUGGGGGUCCUGGAGUCUCCUAAGAAAAGCAUCUCCGAUCCAGAAGCUUUCCUUCAGACGUCCCUGCAGGAUGGAGCCGUGCUGUGCAGGCUGCUGGAGCGACUCCGACCCGGGACGGUGGACAAAUUUUUCCAGGAACCGAGGAGCGACAGCGAGUGUCAGAGGAACAUUACCGAGUUUAUUAGCGGCUGCGGGGCUUUCGGUGUGGAGCCUUUUGAGGUCAAUGACCUCCUGCAGGGACUGAACUUCUCCAAGGUCCUAAACUCCUUGGUCGCCCUCAACAAAGCGACUGAAGAUUUAGGCGUUCCUGGAGACGGCGUGUGUGUGCCGCACUCGUCAACGUUGAGGAUCAAGUCGUUUGAUUCUCUGAACACUCAGAGUCGCUCCUCCAAACUGCUGCAGCCUCAGUACCGCAGCCUGGACAUGUCUGAAGGCAGUGGGUGUGGCCAUAUACUGGUCAAGGCGCGCUUUGCCUUCCAGCAGACCAAUGAGGACGAACUCUCUUUCUCAAAGGGCGACAUCAUCAGUGUGAUGCGGCAGGAGGAUGGGGGCUGGUGGGAGGGCUCGUUCAAUGGCAAGACUGGGUGGUUUCCCAGUAACUAUGUACGGGAGCUGAAAGGAAGCGACAAGUCAUCAGACAAGCCAAAGUCUGGGACAUUGAGAAGUCCCCCUAAAGGUUUUGACACCAGUAUCAUCAGCAAGACCUACUACAAUGUGGUCCUACAGAACAUCUUGGAAACAGAGACUGAAUAUUCGAGGGAGCUACAGAGUCUCCUGGGAUCAUACCUGCGUUCACUCCACCCCACAGACAGACUCAGCAGUGUUGACAUCAGUCACAUUCAGGGAAAUCUGGAGGAGAUCUCAACCUUCCAGCAGAUGUUGGUUCAGUCCUUGGAGGAGCACACAAAACUCCCAGAGGGUCAGCAGAGGAUAGGAGGGUUUUUCCUGAGUCUGAUGCCCCAGACGAAGAUCCUCUAUGUGGCCUACUGCUCCACCCAUCCAGCUGCUGUCAAUGUACUCACCCAACACAGUGAGGAGCUGGGGGAGUACAUGGAGUCAAAGGGGGCGUCCAGUCCAGGGAUCCUGACCCUGACCACCAGUCUGAGUAAACCUUUCACGAGAUUGGAGAGAUACCCGACCCUGCUCAAAGAACUGGAGAGACACAUGGAGGACCAGCACCCUGACAGAGCUGACCUCCACACUUCUAUGAUGUCCUUUAAGACCCUUGCAGCUCAGUGCCAGGAGGUGAGGAAGAAGAAGGACCUGGAGUUACAGAUUUUAACCGAGCCAAUCAGAAAUUGGGAGGGGGAUGACAUCAGAACCCUCGGCCCUGUUCUCCACAUGUCCCAGGUCACGGUCCACACCCAGAACUGUCAGGAGUUAAAUGAACGCUACCUCAUCCUCUUCCCUCACACUCUACUCGUGCUUUCUGCAAGCCUGAGGAUGAGCGGAUUCAUCUACCAGGGGAAGAUGUCUCUGUCAGGAAUGCUCAUCUCCAGAAUAGAAGAUGGAGAAAACCUGAAGAAUGCUUUUGAAAUAUCUGGUGGACAGUGCGAGCGGAUGCAGGUGGCGUGCAACAGUCAGCAAGAUCUACAAGACUGGCUGGACCUUCUCACCAAACACACACACACUUCGGCCACGCAAAGACACUCACACAGGACUCAGUCUGUCUGUCACACAUUGCCCUCCAACCCCAUCACUCCUUCCAGACACUCAGAGUCUCGUGCAGGGAGCAGCGGACACACCUACCACACUCUUCCCCAUCCUUCAUCAUUUGGGACAGGCCUCAGCAACAGCCCCAUGUGGGGCCCCUUGGAGCCUCCGAGUACCCCCAAACCCUGGAGUCUCAGCUGCCUUCGCCCUGCGCCUCCACUGCGGCCCUCCGCUGCUAUCUCCAACAAGGAGGAUAUAAGUAAGAGCCCUAAGAAUAUGAAGAAGCUGCUCCCUAAGAGGAAGCCAGAGAGGAAACCCUCAGAAGAAGACUUCACUGUCAGAAAGAGUACGGCAGCUCUAGAGGAGGACGCUCAGAUACUGAAAGUGAUUGAGGCCUACUGUACCAGCGCUAAGACACGGCAGACUCUCAACUCCAGCUCCAGCAGGAAGGAUGUUCACAUGUUGUUCCCUGAGGAAGAGAAGAUUAUUGUGGAGGAGACCAGGAGCAACGGACAAACUGUAAUGGAGGAGAGGAGUCUGGUGGACACCGUGUACAGUCUGAAAGAUGAAGUUCAGGAGCUCAAACAGGACAACAAGAGGAUGAAGAGGACGCUGGAGGAGGAGCAGCGAGCGAGGAAGGAGCUGGAGAGGAUCAUAAGGAGAGUACUGAAGAACAUGAACGAUCCAACCUGGGAUGAGACUAACCUCUGAGAUUAAGAUAUGUCUGAUCAUCAUGGACAAGACCAAUUUGACUUUUAAAUGACCAAAUGACUUAAGAACUGUUGUUCCACCUGUGUGGGAUCUGAUGGCCAAUAAUGAUAUUUAUGGACAGAAGCUGCCAAUGCUGACAUUCAACAUCUCUUCACCAUUUCCACUUGCUUUGAACUUCUCAGUGACCUGUGUACCAAACUGUGGACCAAGAGAAAAUGCCUGCCAGCCAUCAGCAAAACCAUCCCAACUGACCAUAAAGCUGUGAAAUCAAAUGAGCUGGAAGAAAUCAUAACGAUGAUUUGUACAGAAAAGCAGCAUUUCCUCAUGAACAUCAGGAGGCGUGCCUUGGGGAGAAGAAAUAUUCUUUUGCUGAAGCUAUUAAGCUUAACGACUUUACUUGCAAAUUAAAUAUUAGUGAAACUAGAAACCACACAAUUGUAAGCUAUAGAAUGGAGUAUGACUCUUAACUUAUGUAUUUAACUGAAAGUGACUGAUGUACAGUAAAUAUUGUGUGUUUCAAUGUUACUGUGAUGAAGAUGAUUACAGUAGUUACAAUGAGGAGAAUGACCCCCCUUCCCUCUU